AUUGAACGCUGGCGGCAUGCCUUACACAUGCAAGUCGAACGGCAGCACGGGAGCAAUCCUGGUGGCGAGUGGCGAACGGGUGAGUAAUAUAUCGGAACGUGCCCGGUCGUGGGGGAUAACGUAGCGAAAGCUACGCUAAUACCGCAUACGAUCUACGGAUGAAAGCGGGGGAGUCGCAAGACCUCGCGCGAUUGGAGCGGCCGAUAUCAGAUUAGGUAGUUGGUGAGGUAAAGGCUCACCAAGCCGACGAUCUGUAGCUGGUCUGAGAGGACGACCAGCCACACUGGGACUGAGACACGGCCAGACUCCUACGGGAGGCAGCAGU
RNAcentral lists this ribosomal RNA (325 nucleotides) under uncultured bacterium. RNAcentral describes it as "bacterial SSU rRNA". It matches the Rfam family "Bacterial small subunit ribosomal RNA", at positions 30 to 355 of the family's 1533-position model. The record is from RNAcentral.